CGCUUUUUCUAUUUCUGCUUUUGAAAUUAAAUUAUCAAGUUCAGUAAAUAUUUUUUCUCUUUCCAUGUCUUUUAUCUUAUCUUUUAAAUAAUCACAGGAUGCAUUAGUGUCUUUUUCAUUUAAAUUUUUAAAAUAAGAAAACCAAGCAUCAGUUGACACAUCAGAUGUGGUAUUCUCCCUAUUUGUAUCUGAUAACUCAUGAAGCAGUGCCCAAUAUUGACUUGGAUUUUCGUCUUUUAAAUUAUCUAAUUUAUCUAUUAAAUCUUGUCGAAAAUCCCUUAUUUUUUU
RNAcentral lists this long non-coding RNA (288 nucleotides) under Mytilus galloprovincialis (Mediterranean mussel). Lineage: Eukaryota; Metazoa; Mollusca; Bivalvia; Mytilida; Mytilidae. The record is from RNAcentral.